Molecule: long non-coding RNA, 853 nt
Organism: Lathyrus oleraceus (garden pea)
Lineage: Eukaryota; Viridiplantae; Streptophyta; Magnoliopsida; Fabales; Fabaceae
Exons: 2
Source: RefSeq, a predicted model, not a curated record
ACACUUAGUAGAUCUAGGAUGUAAAAACAAAUUAUAUGGGCCCAUGGGAUGGAGGGCCCAAGAUCAUAUUCAUGAAGGGGAUGGAAUCCAAUUCAACUCAAACUAACAUGUUUCAGAAAGAUAAAUUCACCUUCAAGCACUAGUGGCCGGAAUCUUCCACCUCAAUCGCGUCGGAAUUGCCUCCGGUAGCGGCGGAGAGCCAAUCACCAUAAAUCAUACACCAAAACCCUCGUCUCAGUCCGUUCUACAAGAAUCCGACAUCAGUUUAACCUAGUUCUAACCAAAAUCCCUAAAUCAAGCUAAAUAGUUCAUGAACCCUAAUCUAAAGAACUUAAAUUAAAUCACUCUCAAGGGGAACCAAAGUCCAAAUGGUUAGGGCUUUGAUUCCCUUAACCUUGUCCUACAUGUUGGUGAAUAAAAUGAAGUGAGAUAGAUCAAGAAUCGGACCUACCUACCAGAGAAGACAAUGCUAACAAUGAAGACGACAAAGAAGUCUAAGGUCUUGGACUGAUGUAGAUUGGUUUGUGAGUUGUAUCUAAGAUGACUUUCAUUUGAGAAUCCUUGGCUUAUGGGCAAAUUCCAAACAUGAGGAGCUUUGAAGAUUCCAACCAAAAGAUGAUUUGUGGACAAGUAAAAAUAUGGAUUAAGGGUUAGGAUAGUCACCCAUAGGUGAGUUGACUUUGGUUAGCUGGUUGACCAAAAAGUCAACAGUUGACCAAAAGUCAACUAAAAAAAUGUCUUUUUUAUAUGGUUUGAUUUUAUGUAAGAACAUGGUGAUGUGUUUGAUGAAAUGACAAUUUGUAAUGCAAUAACUUUGAUAAUGCAAUGAAUUAUUUUUAUUUUGAAAUGAAAA